Molecule: non-coding RNA, 449 nt
Organism: Nyctereutes procyonoides (raccoon dog)
Lineage: Eukaryota; Metazoa; Chordata; Mammalia; Carnivora; Canidae
Source: the annotation of a RefSeq genome assembly
CAGUGAUGACCUCCACCAUGGCCUGGUCCCCUCUCCUCCUCACCCUCCUCACUCACUGCACAGGGUCAUGGGCUCAAUCUGUGCUGAGUCAGCUGGCCUCAGUGUCUGGGUCCUUGGGCCAGAGGGUCACCAUCUCCUGCUCUGGAAGCACAAAUGACAUCGGUAUUAUUGGUGUGAACUGGUACCAGCAGUUCCCAGGGAAGGCCCCUAAACUCCUCAUAUACGAUAAUGAGAAGCGACCCUCAGGUAUCCCCGAUCGAUUCUCUGGCUCCAAGUCUGGCAACUCAGGCACCCUGACCAUCACUGGGCUCCAGGCUGAGGACGAGGCUGAUUAUUACUGCCAGUCUAUGGAUUUCAGCCUCGGUGGUCAUGUAGAGUUUCGGGCCUGGGGGGAAGUGAGAAGCAAACCUGCUGAACCCACAGUGAUGGGGCUGACUGUGCAGCCCUGA